Molecule: non-coding RNA, 113 nt
Organism: Acanthosepion pharaonis
Lineage: Eukaryota; Metazoa; Mollusca; Cephalopoda; Sepiida; Sepiidae
Source: the annotation of a GenBank genome assembly
UACGACCACUUCACGUUGAAACACCGGUUCUCGUACGACCACCAAAGUUAAGCAACGUCGAGCGUGGUCAGUGCCUAGAUGGGUGAGUGCUUGGGAAUACGAGAUGCCGUAAU